This 321-nucleotide ribosomal RNA is filed under the name uncultured Coriobacteriales bacterium. RNAcentral describes it as "partial 16S ribosomal RNA". Lineage: Bacteria; Bacillati; Actinomycetota; Coriobacteriia; Coriobacteriales. The record is from RNAcentral.
GGAGUUUGGGCCGUGUCUCAGUCCCAAUGUGGCCGUUCAUCCUCUCAGACCGGCUACCGAUCGUCGGCUUGGUGCGCUUUUAUCACACCAACUACCUAAUCGGACGCAGGCUCCUCGCAAAGCGAUAAAUCUUUAGUACAGAAUCCAUGCGAACUCCGCACAACAUCCGGUAUUAGCGUCCCUUUCGGGACGUUGUCCCCGACUUUGCGGCAGAUUACCUGCGCUUUACUCACCCGUUCGCCACUAGCACCGAAGUGCCCGUUCGACUUGCAUGUGUUAAGCACGCCGCCAGCGUUCGUCCUGAGCCACUGAUCAAACUCU